Molecule: ribosomal RNA, 251 nt
Filed under: uncultured bacterium
Lineage: Bacteria
Description: partial 16S ribosomal RNA
Rfam family: Bacterial small subunit ribosomal RNA
Source: RNAcentral
UACGAAGGGGGCUAGCGUUGCUCGGAAUUACUGGGCGUAAAGCGCACGUAGGCGGCUCUUUAAGUCGGAGGUGAAAUCCUGGAGCUCAACUCCAGAACUGCCUUCGAUACUGAAGAGCUCGAGUCCGGGAGAGGUGAGUGGAACUGCGAGUGUAGAGGUGAAAUUCGUAGAUAUUCGCAAGAACACCAGUGGCGAAGGCGGCUCACUGGCCCGGUACUGACGCUGAGGUGCGAAAGCGUGGGGAGCAAACA